Molecule: ribosomal RNA, 224 nt
Filed under: uncultured bacterium
Lineage: Bacteria
Description: partial 16S ribosomal RNA
Rfam family: Bacterial small subunit ribosomal RNA
Source: RNAcentral
UACAGAGGGUGCGAGCGUUGUCCGGAAUCACUGGGCGUAAAGGGCGCGUAGGUGGUGGCUUAAGCGUGCGGUGAAAGCUCGGGGCUCAACUCCGAGUCGGCCGUGCGAACUGGGCUCACUGGAGCAUAGUAGAGGCAGGUGGAAUUCCGGGUGUAGCGGUGGAAUGCGUAGAGAUCCGGAAGAACACCGGUGGCGAAGGCGGCCUGCUGGGGCAUGAGCUGGAC